UACGGAGGGGGUUAGCGUUGUUCGGAAUGACUGGGCGUAAAGCGCGCGUAGGCGGCUUUGUAAGUUAGAGGUGAAAGCCCGGGGCUCAACUCCGGAACUGCCUUUAAGACUGCAUCGCUUGAAUCCAGGAGAGGUGAGUGGAAUUCCGAGUGUAGAGGUGAAAUUCGUAGAUAUUCGGAAGAACACCAGUGGCGAAGGCGGCUCACUGGACUGGUAUUGACGCUGAGGUGCGAAAGCGUGGGGAGCAAACAGG
This 253-nucleotide ribosomal RNA is filed under the name uncultured bacterium. RNAcentral's name for it is "partial 16S ribosomal RNA". It matches the Rfam family "Bacterial small subunit ribosomal RNA", at positions 524 to 776 of the family's 1533-position model. The record is from RNAcentral.